RNAcentral lists this ribosomal RNA (580 nucleotides) under uncultured bacterium. RNAcentral's name for it is "bacterial SSU rRNA". It matches the Rfam family "Bacterial small subunit ribosomal RNA", at positions 338 to 908 of the family's 1533-position model. The record is from RNAcentral.
CCUACGGGAGGCAGCAGUGGGGAAUUUUGCGCAAUGGGGGAAACCCUGACGCAGCAACGCCGCGUGAGUGAUGAAGGCCUUCGGGUCGUAAAGCUCUUUUAGUGGGGAAGAAGCCCACCCGGGCUAAUAUCCCGGGUGUCUGACGGUACCCACAGAAAAAGUUCCGGCUAACUACGUGCCAGCAGCCGCGGUAAUACGUAGGGAGCAAGCGUUGUUCGGAAUUAUUGGGCGUAAAGAGCGCGUAGGCGGUUCGGUAAGUCUGACGUGAAAUCCCGGAGCUCAACUCCGGAACUGCGUUGGAUACUGCCGGGCUUGAGUGUGGGAGAGGAGAGUGGAAUUCCCAGUGUAGAGGUGAAAUUCGUAGAUAUUGGGAGGAACACCCGUGGCGAAGGCGGCUCUCUGGACCACAACUGACGCUGAGGCGCGAAAGCUAGGGUAGCAAACGGGAUUAGAUACCCCGGUAGUCCUAGCCGUAAACGAUGGGCACUAGGUGUUGGAGGUAUCGACCCCUCCAGUGCCGCAGCUAACGCAUUAAGUGCCCCGCCUGGGGAGUACGGUCGCAAGACUAAAACUCAAAAGG